UACGUAGGGGGCGAGCGUUGUCCGGAUUUAUUGGGCGUAAAGAGCUCGUAGGCGGUUGGGUAAGUCGGGUGUGAAAACUCAGGGCUCAACUCUGAGACGCCACUCGAUACUGCCCUGACUCGAGUCCGGUAGGGGAGCGUGGAAUUCCCGGUGUAGCGGUGAAAUGCGCAGAUAUCGGGAGGAACACCAGUGGCGAAGGCGGCGCUCUGGGCCGGAACUGACGCUGAGGAGCGAAAGCUAGGGGAGCAAACAGG
RNAcentral lists this ribosomal RNA (254 nucleotides) under uncultured bacterium. RNAcentral describes it as "partial 16S ribosomal RNA". It matches the Rfam family "Bacterial small subunit ribosomal RNA", at positions 524 to 776 of the family's 1533-position model. The record is from RNAcentral.